AGCAGCCAUCAUCAUGAAUCAAGUCGACAAUCAACUGGCAAAUCCUUUUCAUAUGAAGAGGAAUUAUAGAUAAAACGAAUCGGUGCUCAUCGGCCAUAAGCAUUGCACACGUUGGAAAUCGCAAAUUCAACAAUGAGUGGUUUGAAAGGAAUCAGUGGCUAACUACAAGCUUGGCAAAGCAAUCACUGGACUGCUAUUCAGUGGAGAGGGUGUGUGGUCCAAGUCUGGGUUUAAAGAACACCCUUUGUGUUUUGUUAGACACGUAACUCUUUUUACACAAUAUAGCAGGGGUGUAAAGCCAUAACACAUAAGUUUUUCCAGCAGCAGACUAUGAUCGAUAACGUCAAAAGCCGCACUGAAGUCUAACAAAGCAGCCCCCACAAUCGUUUUAUCAUCAAUUUCUCAUUGGGAGUGGAGACUGCUUUGCAGUGCUGUCUUCGGCUUCCAUGGCUCACGACAUGCGAUCAUCAUUGAUUGCCAUGCUCCGCUUGUUGUGCUCCUUCGACUCCGCUAUCAGAUGGGGGAGGAGAGGCAGAAGAUGGCUCCCCUGGCGAACAAACUCCGGGCAACACCGGUCAGUCGGAUAACGACAAACGAUAAGACAGAGAUGCAUCCAACAUGCGCGAACGCCUUCCACCCACCGGCGUAGAAAAGCUAAACAGGUAGCACUGGCGUGCGCACAUAGGAGAUCCCGUGAAAAAUGUGCCCGCCUAUGGAAUUCAAAGGCCUGUCUAACUGAUUCACCCGGCCCUGCAACAUGGUGUCCCAUAUUAAGUACUACUGCUUGGAUAGAUAGGAGGUAGAGGGGUUGCAAGCAUACAGAAACCACACAUACAAACAGUAUUGAACAUUAUUUGCCAAUAUCAUAACUGGAGCUGGACAUCUUUCAAGCUGAAAAUUGAGGCCAGAUUUUGUAUGCCAGCGUACACUCCUUAACAGUACUGGAUAAAAACACAGCAAGAAAACACUUGCUGGAAGUGUGUAGGACUGCUGUACCAAUUGUCCACAUUCAAAGUGUGUCCCUUGCCGAGAUGAGGAGCCAGCAUGGUCAUCACCGUGGAACCGGACACCUCAAGCCCCUCAUAAUGUUGGAUAUCAGUGGUUGAUCCUGUGUAGACUAUAAUGUCCUGGACAAAUGCUGUCUUCACGUCGCACAUAACAAAGCACUUGACCCCAAACCUGUGCCUUUUGGGUGGAAUAUAUUGACAGAACGCCAGCCUACCCUUCCAUAACAUCAGGGACUCAUCAAUGCAUUGGUCCUUGUAUGGCACAAAGACCCUACCAAAUGCUAAUGUCAAGCUGCUCCAAGGCAUAGCGGUUGGUCUCCUCUAGUAUGUCUCCCACCAGCUCCUCUGUCAGAAACAGCUUGAAGCACUCUGCCUCAGAGGGAAAUGGCAAGGGGCUUUGCAAUCCAGACUGGGACUCAUCAAAGCAAACAGCAGGGCCAGGAAAUGGCUGGCAGCCUUCCAGCUACCAUAGACCUCCUGUACAUUAUCCACUGUUGGUCUGCCUCCGUUAACAGGGGCAGCUCCUCAUUGUCCCUGUCACUGUCAGAAUCUGAUUCCUGACUUUGUCAGAAUUGUAAAAAAUCUUUCCGCAUUUGUGAGUUGUCUUCUUUUGAAAGACAUUGUUAAUGCUACAGCUUAGCUCACUAGCUACAUACAUAAAGAACAACACUGAAUCGCUCAGAGUGGGAGUGAGAGGUUACGUGAUUGACUGCCUGCAUGCGCCAUUUGUAUCAAUAAAUCACUAUCAGAAAAUGUUUUGUGUGGUAAUAAUUUAUUUACUGUUUUAUUCACGUAUUCAAGUACUAGUCACAAAUCAUGCAUUCCGAUUCUUGCAUAGAUUGUAAUGGACACAUAUUAUGUGUGUAAAAUACUUUUUUGAAGGUUGUAUUGAUUAUGAUGAGCUAAGCUAAUUCCAGCUAUGUGUGGAGCCAUGUUUGUUGAAAUAUAACACAUUCUGGGUUUCACAUAAACGUCUGUCGGACCAAGGAUGUUAUAACAAAAUGAGGUGAGGGAGGGUUCACUCCCUUUUUGAGUAAACUUCCAGAAGUGAAUCAUGGGAUGUGAAUGAUGGUAGACGACACACCCCCUUCAACAUGCAUACUAUAAACAGACCAAACUCAUCUUGUCUCCUCUUAUCUUUGGUUGAUGAGAAAAAACAAACAUGGCGGCGUGCACAAACUACCCAUCAUUGGAUUACUUUCAAUUUCUAGAAAGUGUUUUACUCAAUUAUUUCGAUCAAUGGUGAGCUCACCCGUGAUGUGAUUAUUUUUAGUAAUAGCUAUUAUAGUAAUAUCUAUUAGCUAAUUCCUGCUGUAGUUUCUGUCAACCGAGAGUUAUGAAAAUAUGAAUGCUUAUGUUACGUCAAUCUUUCCUCAGUUAGCGCUAGGAUAUAUUUAGCCUACAUUUUCCGGUUUGGAUGAUUGUGUUAUGUUGUAGCUACUUCUGUGAAUGUCUGAACAUUGUAUCCAAAAAUAAACUGGUCACAUUCUGGACAUAACUUUACAAGGACUGUGUUUGUGCAAAAUGUUUCUGUGAAAAAAAACAGUGUGGCCAGCUCAAAUGCUGACUGUUGCAUCAAUCGAAACUGGACGUUCUAAAUAAGCAUUCUAAUCACAUCGGUUUGAGCGUACGCUGCAGGGACCACUGUAGAAUGAUCACACCCGUUUGUUGGUUGGUGUGAAGAAGUUAAGGGCCACUACCAUCAUGGUGACCAGUCUUCUACUUUCCCUCUUUCCCCUCAUGUUAAUGCUUGUUUGAUGGAAAUGCUCGUAAGUCAUUUCCUAUUAGGUUGAGACUUAGUCUCAAAAGGGAGGAUAUGUGGAGGAAAUUAAUUCAUUACAUACUAUGCUGUUUAAUUAGGCAUACUAUGCUGUUUUUUACUUUCCGCCAAACAAGUCAAGGUUUUGUUGUCCUCCGCAAUGAAAUGGGGGAGUGGAUCUGUCUCUGUCCAUUCAUACGUUCGUCACACGCAAUUCUCAGACAGCACUGGCCCGCACUUGGGUGAAUGAUGCGUCUUGCCAUAGAGAUCCAGCAUUUAGAGAAUUAUACUGAUUGGCCCAAGGCAGGAACUAUAGUAAAUAACUGAAAUGUGUUAGUCACACGCAAUAUCUCAAUUGGCCCAAGGGGACUGAAUCAUUUGUGGGGGACGACAUGUUUACCUUUGCCUUGUAUACAUACCAAGUAAAUAUUGUCAAUUGUUAACAGUGGAGACAGUACCAGAGUCUCUGAAAGGGGAUGACCUAUGAUAUGGACUGGAAAUAGUCUGAUUCAGUUUCAUUUUUCUGAUGUGAUAUUUGAAGGCUACAAAAGUUAUCUUUGGAAGAAAAGUAUUUUCUAUUCAAGUUAAUUUGCUCGAGACCUGACACUGCCUUUCAACUAAUCUAUUUUGUGUUCCAACCCUUAGGAAACUAUGAGAAGGUAGUUGUUCCACUGACCAACUGCAGUUCCACCAUAUUCCUUACACCAGUCUAUUCCUUUUAAGCCCAUGAAGGUGAUUGUAUGAGUGCUUACUUUGACUUAGGGUAAAGAGUAGGCUUAUGUCCUGAUUGUCCACCCAUCUCCCAAAAUGUGCAAUGUCAUGAAUUGUAUGAUGGAAACUCCCUCUAUAGCCAAUGACUAGAUCAAUUCAAUGUUUAUAAAUUUAUGGUGGGGGAGAAGAGUGGUGAAUCGGGAAACAGAAAGUCUCAUUCACACUUCAUUUGCCCUUGACCACCCUGGUGCAUUUGACUGACCUCUUCUGUUUUAAGUUUCCACACAUGCUAACCAAUACAUAAGUUGUGCUCCUUUUUCACAGAUGUUUCAGGCUGAUGACCUGUCUCCAUAGCUGAGAGAAACAGAGGAGGAACAUCACUUUGUCCCCAAUUCUACUUCUAAUGUUUCUAACUGUACUGAUGAGGAAGAAGAGGGCAGACUUAUCCACUAUUGUGAAACUGUUCAGUCAAAUUUACAUUGCCACUUUGUUACCAGAAACAAGUCACAUGUUCAAUAAGGUAUUCUGCAAAUAGAAUUACAAUACAAAAAUGGUCUUGCUCUUCAGUGAAGUUCUGCCAAUUGUAUGCUGUAAACCAUUAUCAAGGAAACUUAGUUGAACACGUUGUGUAAAUUGUAACAUGUUUCUUGAACACCAGUGAUUCCAAGGACAAGAAUAACUGUUACCUGUAGAACAAUGUCUCUAUCACAGGUCACUAAUACAAUUAUUUGUUAAUUGUGCAGACUGAUUGCUAUGGCAUGGACAUGACAAAGCAAUGAACUAACUAAACACUUAUCGGCUAUUAUGCCUCUCAAUUUCCAGUCGACAUUUGCAAGAAAAAAGUCAUUAUGCAGUAUAGCUAUACCGAUGGCUAGCGGCUUUGACAGUAUUGAGUCAAGCAAGUUUUACUGUUUCACAGAAUAUGGUGAUGGAGGGGAAGUCAGGUGGGCAUCUCCAGUCAGAACAGGACCUGCACAAACUUUAUCAAAUGAUAACCUCAUGAUGCACACUGGCAGAGAUGUCAACCAGCAGUAUUUGUAAAGACUGUCUCACCGAGGACUGUAAUGAAAGGCGGCCUAAGGGGUUCUUCUCCCAGUCAC
This is a long non-coding RNA of Salvelinus fontinalis (brook trout), 4577 nucleotides long. RefSeq lists it as uncharacterized. The record is from RefSeq and is a predicted model, not a curated record. NCBI's taxonomy places the organism in Eukaryota, Metazoa, Chordata, Actinopteri, Salmoniformes, Salmonidae. The transcript is spliced from 4 exons.